CCCGAAGACCGGGAUAGCCCGAGGAAACUCGGAUUAAUACCGGAUACCCUCUUUGGACCACAUGGUCUGCUGAGGAAAUGGUCCGCCGCUUCGGGAUGGCCUCGCGGCCUAUCAGCUUGUUGGUGAGGUAACGGCUCACCAAGGCAAAGACGGGUAGCUGGUCUGAGAGGACGAUCAGCCACACUGGGACUGAGACACGGCCCAGACUCCUACGGGAGGCAGCAGCAGGGAAUAUUGCACAAUGGGCGAAAGCCUGAUGCAGCGACACCGCGUGCGGGAUGAAGGCCCUCGGGUUGUAAACCGCUUUCAGGAGGGACGAAACUGACGGUACCUCCAGAAGAAGGCCCGGCCAACUACGUGCCAGCAGCCGCGGUAAUACGUAGGGGCCAAACGUUGUCCGGAUUUAUUGGGCGUAAAGGGCUCGUAGGCGGUUCAAAAAGUCGAUCGUGAAAGCCCGGGGCUCAACCCCGGGACGCCGGUCGAAACUGUUAUGACUAGGGUCCGGUAGAGGUGAGUGGAAUUCUCGGUG
RNAcentral lists this ribosomal RNA (529 nucleotides) under uncultured bacterium. RNAcentral describes it as "bacterial SSU rRNA". It matches the Rfam family "Bacterial small subunit ribosomal RNA", at positions 130 to 675 of the family's 1533-position model. The record is from RNAcentral.